Molecule: ribosomal RNA, 310 nt
Filed under: Tandanus sp. JAAG-2007
Lineage: Eukaryota; Metazoa; Chordata; Actinopteri; Siluriformes; Plotosidae
Description: partial 12S ribosomal RNA
Rfam family: Bacterial small subunit ribosomal RNA
Source: RNAcentral
CCCGCCCGGGCACUACGAGCACAGCUUAAAACCCAAAGGACUUGGCGGUGCCUCAGACCCACCUAGAGGAGCCUGUUCUAGAACCGAUAAUCCUCGUUAAACCUCACCACUUCUUGUUUUACCCGCCUAUAUACCGCCGUCGUCAGCUUACCCUGUGAAGGCCCAACAGUAAGCAAAACUGGUCAGCCCAAAAACGUCAGGUCGAGGUGUAGCGUACGAAGUGGGAAGAAAUGGGCUACAUUUUCUAAUAAUAGACUAUAACGAAUAGCACGCUGAAACACGUGCUUAAAGGUGGAUUUAGCAGUAAAAA